GUCUACGGCCAUGCCACCCUGAACAAGCCCGAUGUCUGAUCUCAGAAGCUAAGCGGGUCGGGCCUAGUUAGUACUUGGAUGGGAGACCACCUAGGAAGACCAAGUGCUGUAGGUG
RNAcentral lists this ribosomal RNA (115 nucleotides) under Pteropus alecto (black flying fox). Lineage: Eukaryota; Metazoa; Chordata; Mammalia; Chiroptera; Pteropodidae. The record is from RNAcentral.